GAUGAACGCUGGCGGCGUGCUUAACACAUGCAAGUCGAACGGAAAGGCCAGUGCUUGCCCUGGUACUCGAGUGGCGAACGGGUGAGUAACACGUGGGUGAUCUGCCCUGCACUUCGGGAUAAGCCUGGGAAACUGGGUCUAAUACCGGAUAGGACAAUGGUUUGGAUGCCGUUGUGGAAAGUUUUUUCGGUGUGGGAUGAGCUCGCGGCCUAUCAGCUUGUUGGUGGGGUAAUGGCCUACCAAGGCGUCGACGGGUAGCCGGCCUGAGAGGGUGUACGGGGACAUUGGGACUGAGAUACGGCCCAGACUCCUACGGGAGGCAGCAGGGGGGAAUAUUGCACAAUGGGCGCAAGCCUGAUGCAGCGACGCCGCGUGGGGGAUGACGGCCUUCGGGUUGUAAACUCCUUUCGCUAGGGACGAAGCGUAUUUGUGACGGUACCUGGAGAAGAAGCACCGGCUAACUACGUG
This 468-nucleotide ribosomal RNA is filed under the name uncultured bacterium. RNAcentral's name for it is "partial 16S ribosomal RNA". It matches the Rfam family "Bacterial small subunit ribosomal RNA", at positions 28 to 507 of the family's 1533-position model. The record is from RNAcentral.